RNAcentral lists this ribosomal RNA (460 nucleotides) under uncultured bacterium. RNAcentral's name for it is "partial 16S ribosomal RNA". It matches the Rfam family "Bacterial small subunit ribosomal RNA", at positions 338 to 795 of the family's 1533-position model. The record is from RNAcentral.
CCUACGGUGGGCAGCAGUGAGGAAUAUUGGUCAAUGGCCGAGAGGCUGAACCAGCCAAGUCGCGUGAGGGAAGACGGCCCUACGGGUUGUAAACCUCUUUUGUCGGGGAGCAAAGCGAGUCACGUGUGACUCAUUGAGAGUACCCGAAGAAAAAGCAUUGGCUAACUCCGUGCCAGCAGCCGCGGUAAUACGGAGGAUGCGAGCGUUAUCCGGCUUUAUUGGGUUUAAAGGGAGCGGAGGCCGCAUGUCAAGCGUGCUGUGAAAUGUCCGGGCUCACCCCGGGCCUUGCAGCGCGAACUGGCGUGCUUGAGUCAGCGGAAAGCAGGCGGAAUUCGUGGUGUAGCGGUGAAAUGCUUAGAUAUGACGAAGAACCCCGAUUGCGAAGGCAGCUUGCUGCAGCGGAACUGACGCUGAUGCUCGAAAGCGCGGGUAUCGAACAGGAUUAGAUACCCGAGUAGUC